GUGCCAUUUGAUACAUGAUAGCUUAUUAGCAUAAUUAAUUUUUAUUAAAUAUUUAGACUAAUAUAUCUACAGCUAACAGCUUAGAUCACAGUUACAGUUGAUCACAGUUACAGCUACAGCUGCGUGUUAAAUACAAUCAUUGUAUGAAUCAAAUAGGCUCUCCAGCGCAUCUCGCGACUGAGAGAAGCUGGCCUCGAUUUUGCUGUGGC
RNAcentral lists this long non-coding RNA (209 nucleotides) under Elaeis guineensis (African oil palm). Its description in RNAcentral is "long non-coding RNA (EGUI_LNC076803)". The record is from RNAcentral. Lineage: Eukaryota; Viridiplantae; Streptophyta; Magnoliopsida; Arecales; Arecaceae.